This 252-nucleotide ribosomal RNA is filed under the name uncultured bacterium. RNAcentral's name for it is "partial 16S ribosomal RNA". It matches the Rfam family "Bacterial small subunit ribosomal RNA", at positions 524 to 776 of the family's 1533-position model. The record is from RNAcentral.
UACGUAGGGGGCUAGCGUUAUCCGGAAUUACUGGGCGUAAAGGGUGCGUAGGUGGUUUCUUAAGUCAGAGGUGAAAGGCUACGGCUCAACCGUAGUAUGCCUUUGAAACUGGGGAACUUGAGUGCAGGAGAGGAGAGUGGAAUUCCUAGUGUAGCGGUGAAAUGCGUAGAUAUUAGGAGGAACACCAGUUGCGAAGGCGGCUCUCUGGACUGUAACUGACACUGAGGCACGAAAGCGUGGGGAGCAAACAGG